UCUGACAAGUUCAGCUUGUGAUCCCUGUGGGCAUAGCUGAACAGAGAGAUCCAUAGUGGAUUACAAUAAGUGGAGAGGCCCUGUAGCUGGAGUGUGCCUGCAGAAUUUCUAAGAAGGCCAGCAUGCCUGCAGCAUAGAAAGCAAUGGAGAAGGGAAAUGGAGGAUGAAGUCAGAAUGGCGACGAGGGACCAGAUGGUGGAGGCUUUCAGGUCAUUAAGGGCUUUACUUAUUUUGAAUGACGUUUAUUUUGACAACAAUUAAUGGGUUUUGAGCAGAGGAGCAAGAAGACACGACUUACAUUUUAUCGGGAUCAUUUCAGCAUUCUUGAAUAAGUUGAAAAGAGAAAUCAUUUAGAAAACAUCUGCACCUAUCCAGCAUCAAGAAACAAAUGACGAUUUUCAAUACUCGGAGUAUACUGGCAGAGGAAUCCUGAAUCAACUGGCAUAGGUCUGCCACUGAUGCAGGAAGUUGAACCUGGCAGCUGCAGCCAAUCAGAGCUGAAGAACAGUCAAGUCAAGCAAACAUGAUCGCUGGAGAUGCAGCAACUAUCUUGGACAACAAGGUGACAAGAAGCUUAAUUUGACAACAAUACAAAAAGAUAGUAUCCUGUGUCCCUGAUGACACCAAGAGGGUGCAUAAUAUUUUCCUGCAGAUGUGGAACUUACAUAUAUGGAGACCCAAUGGAAACCUCCUGGGUUUUCUAUGCAGACAAUUAUGUCUGCAAAUAAUGAGUUUUCUAAACAAAUUCCUUUCUGAUUUUUUUUUUGCUUGUCUUAUUACAUUGCCUAGGAAUAACAUUAUUAUAAUGAGUAGAACUAGUGAUAACAGUCUUUUGUCUUUUUUGUGCAUUUAAUGCAAAUGCUCAUCUUUACUAUUAAGUGUGCUAACAGCUGAAGUUAUCAGGUUAAUAUACUUCACCAGGUUAAGAAGGUUUGUUUCUAUUUCUGUUUUGUUAAACUACAAAAAAAAUCAUAAAUGAAAAUUAACUUUUCCUCUUGAUUUAUCACAUUUAUUUAAAUAAACACAGUUAUGAUUUCUCUUUUAAUCUACUAAAAUGUUGGAGUCUUCUCUAAUGUUGACCCAUCAUUACAUAUCUAAGAUGUCUGAGAAAUACACAUUUGAGGUAAAUUCUACUUGUUUAUGGUUUUGUAACCAUACCAGACAAACCUGUUUCAACUUUUAUGUAAGAAAGUUGUGAGUUUUUCAGUUGCUAUGGACCCCCACACAUUGACAGUCACAUAACCUGAGCAUGCCCAGUUGAACCAACUAUGCAACCACAGUUGGAACUUAAGUGCUCAGACCAAGAAACAGGGACUUAAUUAAGACAUGGAUACCACAUGGAACAAUCCAGGAUCCAAUCAGAUCAAGACUUGGUGUCACCUUAUAGCAGGAUCCUGUCAGAUCAAGAGAUCCAUGCCUAGUGGAAUCAUCUGAUUUAAAAAUCCAAUCAAAUCACACCUCAUUACUCUAUAGCUAUAAGACCUGCCCCAGCUCUCCAGCUCAAGGAAAUGGAUUUGAGCCUUUCCUCCUAUCUUCUUGCCAGUCAGCUUGCAGAGAACCUUUUCUUUUCUCCAAAGCCAGUGCCAUGACAUUGGCUUGUAUGGGUAUCAGGCAGUGAGCCCACUGAUUGUUUGGUAAAAAAUUUUAAGUGACAUUUAAAAUUUUAAAUAAAAUGUGAAUUUUGACUUGCUGACACUUAUCUUGGGAGUUCUCCAUGAACGUUCAUAAUUCUGAUUGACCUAUAAUUUUGUCUUAUUGAACUGCCCUUGCCUUAGUCUGGUAUUGAUAUUUUAAUAUUCUCUCAAAGACCUGAGAAGCUUUUCCUAUUUCUUUACUUUCUGAAGCAGUUUAUAAAAUAAGUGGAUUAUAUUUUUCAUCACGUGUAGAAAAUAAAAAAUUCUUGGCCCUAGUAUCUUAACAUUUUUCUAAUAAAAAUUAAUUUUUAUUAUAAAAAUUAAAAUUUGUUAUUAAAAAUUUAA
This 1979-nucleotide long non-coding RNA is filed under the name Homo sapiens (human). RNAcentral's name for it is "HSALNT0401056". The record is from RNAcentral. Lineage: Eukaryota; Metazoa; Chordata; Mammalia; Primates; Hominidae.